CACAUACACACAGAGAGUUAUACAAGCAUCCACACAUACCAUCAUCACGGAUGCAUCCUCAAACAGCUCGACAGGGAACAUCGACUUCCGACACUCAUUUGCCAAGAUGAAAGUUACAGCUCCAAGCAUUCUUGCACAUGAAGAUUGAGAGUAUCAUAGUCUGGUAGAAACUGCUGGCAAGACGGACACUGAAAAAUCUGCUGCUCUUCCUCAUCGUGCUGACGUGGCUGUUGGUGGCUGCGAGAGGUGGGCUGAAAACACAUCAGAACCAAAUCAUUUGACUGGAGGCAUUGUUGAUGCAGAAAGCAACCCAGGCCCUGCAAAAAGACAGACUCUGCUACCGACAUCAACAUUGUCAUCUAAACAACAGGAUGACAAACAUGACUUGUCCAUUCAUUGACAACAAGAAGGCUUUCCUUUGCUUUGACACACUCGUCAUUGAGGGUAAGACAUACCCAUCUACAAACAGCUUGAAGGAAAGACAAACCAGUGACCAACAGUUAAGUUGCCAUGAGAAGAAUGCUGCUAAGAGAAAUAAAUCAUCAACAUGUGAAGAUAUAAGAACUUGUGCAUCGAAGACGUAAAACCUUCAGUCCCUCUGCUAUUUGUGCUUUGGACAUGGUGUCUGACAUAAUGGAAUUAUAAGAACAUAAGAAGUACAAAUUAAAAAUCCCAUCAUUCAAAGAGUUUUGCAGAAAGUUUAAGAUCUUUGUCUUAUUGGAGACUUUGUCAUGUCAGUUGAGUAAUAGAGAAGACGCCUUCUCAGAUUAUGCUGUGCACUUACUCUCAAGUGAACAGCAACUCAAGGGUGGUGUAGCUGUUUGUGUUCAUAAAACUGUGUCUUCGGAUAGCACACUACUUAAGCAAGCAGAGAAUUUUACAUUUCUUAAAAUAGAUAAGCUUGUUUUGAACUGUUUGGAUGAUAUUGUUGCCUUCAUGUACGUAGCACCAGAAAGGUCAAUAAUUUAUGGGGAUGACAACAGUGAUGGAAAAUGACAUAAAAAGAUCAAACUAUUUACAUCAUAUUUAUAGGAAUAUAUCACUAGUGAAUGUGAAAAACAUAAUAGAUUAAAGAAAGAUUAACGACAAUACAAGGUUUAUAUCCUUCAUCCUUUGUGAUGUCACAGUCGUCACAGAUUUGGGCACAACUAUUGGAGGUAUUGGUAAUUCUAGCAGUCGUGAAGCAUACACUUUAAGGCAUUCUUUGAAGUCUAGCUUUAUUUAUUUUUUUCUUAAUAAUGCCUUCUCUUUUUGUUUUUGUUUGAAAGAAGAAGACAAUGAACAAAAAAUUGCUGACCAAAGCCGGCUAUUCUACAGUUGCAGGCAUGAGCACACCAUCCUUCCCUGCCCCUCCCUCUUAUCAGGCCUGCUUGUAACUUAUUAGUAUAGGACUGAUGUUGGAGAAAUAUGGUUGUAGAUGUAAUAGGAUUAAAAAUAAACCAAACAAUGAUGAUAACGGGAAUUUUUUAAAAAAGAUAUUUUUACCUGUUACCCACCAACUCUAAAACACAAUUUUUCUUUUACAUUAAUGAUAAAAAAGGAGUUAUAAAAAACUGAAUUCUCAGUCACUAAAAGAACCCCAUCACACAAAA
This 1592-nucleotide long non-coding RNA is filed under the name Pomacea canaliculata. RNAcentral describes it as "uncharacterized LOC112571423". Lineage: Eukaryota; Metazoa; Mollusca; Gastropoda; Architaenioglossa; Ampullariidae. The record is from RNAcentral.